UUAAGGAGGGAGUCCAUCUUCAGUUGCAGUGCCUGACAUUUGAUUGUGGAGUGGCUCUUCUGGGUGGAAAAAGUGUGGUUCCAGGUCACUGUCAAGUUGCUGCUGCACAUCUGAGAAUCUUGAGCAUUCAAUCUAGGCUUAAGCCAUGAGCAUAUGGCCUUCUCCUAGCAACUGUAAUUGGAUCAAUGCUGAGUCAUCUGGGAUGAGCAAGCUGGUCCAGUCAGACCAAAAGAAGAGAUAUUCCAUAAUUAGGGGAGAAGUUUGCUCCACAUCUUUCCUACAUGAAUUUAAUGAGGUCUACCAUCUCUAAUAACAAGCAGUGAUUUCUUUUGGGAAAGAUAAUCUCGAUAACAAUACAUGAUUUGAGGCUCUAAAAGUCAAAUGUGUUCACCAGGAUUGCAUUAAAUUACUUCAGGGAGAGCUGGCAUCUUUGUAACAUCAUUAUAAGAAAAAACAGGAGAAAGCUCCAUCCGGGAGCAGUGUAGAGUGUGGAGAAUCCCUAAUCAUUGACAAUAGGGAAAGAAGAAAAGUCUCUCUCGAAACAUCCCUAGAAGGAAGAUCCUGGAGAUCAAAGAAACAAAAGAUGCCAGUAACAACAGAAAUCUAUAAAGAGCUGGGAGUAGAAAAAGGAAACGGUCAGCCAAGAAGUACAUAUUCAGAUGAAUAACCCUUCAAAAACAAAGAUGAAAUAAACACUUUUUAGAAAGAAAGAGCACUGACAGACACCAAAUGUUUAACCUCCCAUGCACAAGUUCCUGUGUGGUGGCCCAGAACACUUCAGAAGAGUCGGUCCCUGCUUCUUUCUACCUUUGCUGCUCUGUGCUUAAAGCUCAGUAGAAUUGUGGGGAUAAUCCCACAUCACACUAGAACCUCCCCUUGGAAAACUGAACCUUAUUGAAUUUUGGUAGAUGACAGAGAUGAAAUGGUCUUCUCUUUUCUCAAGGAGUGCCUAGAGACUGCAAUAAACCACCACAACAACAAUACUCCCCCUUCAAACAUACAAAUGCCAAAAAAAUGUUCUGGCAAAAUGUUGGUAUGGAAUUGAAUGUUUUAAGGAUUAGUCCCAAUGCUGCUACAACCAAUCUCUGGAGUGUGAGGGCGAAUUAGAGAGGAUUCCAUCCCGAUUCCACACCCAAAAAUAAAAUUGAAGCUCGCAGACCUAGGUGUUUUGGGAUUGGCAUCUAUGGAUGACUGAAUAUACAACUGGACAUCAGAAUUAUGGGUUUUCUCUAUAGUUCUAUUAUUUUGAUUUAUGUCUGUAAAAUUGAAAAGUCAAAUUUUUUCUUAGAUAUAUACUAGCUACUAUAUUAAAGGUAUUGUGACUGAUUAUUGGAAAACAAAUUUUUAAGAAAUGCAAUUACAAUAAUCUAACA
Non-coding RNA from Microcebus murinus (gray mouse lemur), 1373 nucleotides. NCBI's taxonomy places the organism in Eukaryota, Metazoa, Chordata, Mammalia, Primates, Cheirogaleidae. The record is from RefSeq and is a predicted model, not a curated record.